This 88-nucleotide unclassified non-coding RNA is filed under the name Chryseobacterium sp. YR221. RNAcentral describes it as "Flavo-1 RNA". The record is from RNAcentral. Lineage: Bacteria; Pseudomonadati; Bacteroidota; Flavobacteriia; Flavobacteriales; Weeksellaceae.
CCCUAGCCCCGAUAGGAACGGUUACCCCGCAACAUGCUAUGCUUUUUAGGGAAGGCGUGAGGAGUAUGAGUGGAUAGCGGGAUAAAGC